GGGGGAGGGGGGGGGUGGUGGUGAAGGGUCGCAUCGUAAAGUUUCCGGACGUUGGGGGAAUUAGGUCGUAUCGUAAAACAUUUUCCCGCACAUUAGCUUCCUUAUGUUAUUUGAGGUUAACGUACCGUUCUUCCUUUAAUGUUUCAUUUUUUCCUUCAUAUUUCGUGAAUUUUUUUUCCAAAUUUUAGCUAUAAUUUUCAUCUGUUUCACUCAAAUUUUUUCUCUAUUAAAUUCAUGUUUUACCGGCUACGAAAACAAUUUGCCGACUAGGAUUCAUUAUUUUGACGACUACCACAUGACUAGGGGGCGGGGGGUUACGUUGACACUACCCCCCCCCCUUUAAUUUUUUAGUGCUGCCCCUGGUAUGUAGUGACAACGGGCCUUUUAAAAAUUUCUAGGCAUCAGACGAACAUAAUUAAUUUCAGGUUAUGUGGGCACUACACGUCAUGGG
Molecule: non-coding RNA, 451 nt
Organism: Paramuricea clavata
Lineage: Eukaryota; Metazoa; Cnidaria; Anthozoa; Malacalcyonacea; Plexauridae
Source: the annotation of a GenBank genome assembly